UCAUGUAUCUGACCCCAAAUAGUUGGGAAAAGGCUCAGAUGAUGAUGAUGAUGAUGAUCAUCAUCAUCAUCAUCUGAGCCUUAUCCCAACUAUUUGAGAUCAGAUACAUGA
RNAcentral lists this microRNA precursor (111 nucleotides) under Amborella trichopoda. Its description in RNAcentral is "miR8577 stem-loop (atr-MIR8577)". The record is from miRBase by way of RNAcentral. Lineage: Eukaryota; Viridiplantae; Streptophyta; Magnoliopsida; Amborellales; Amborellaceae.